Molecule: ribosomal RNA, 497 nt
Filed under: uncultured bacterium
Lineage: Bacteria
Description: partial 16S ribosomal RNA
Rfam family: Bacterial small subunit ribosomal RNA
Source: RNAcentral
GACGAACGCUGGCGGCGUGCCUAAUACAUGCAAGUUGAGCGAUGAAGAUUGGUGCUUGCACCAAUUUGAAGAGCAGCGAACGGGUGAGUAACGCGUGGGGAAUCUACCUUUGAGCGGGGGACAACAUUUGGAAACGAAUGCUAAUACCGCAUAACAACUUUAAACAUAAGUUUUAAGUUUGAAAGAUGCAAUUGCAUCACUCAAAGAUGAUCCCGCGUUGUAUUAGCUAGUUGGUGAGGUAAAGGCUCACCAAGGCGAUGAUACAUAGCCGACCUGAGAGGGUGAUCGGCCACAUUGGGACUGAGACACGGCCCAAACUCCUACGGGAGGCAGCAGUAGGGAAUCUUCGGCAAUGGACGAAAGUCUGGCCGAGCAACGUCGCGUGAGUGAAGAAGGUUUUCGGAUCGUAAAACUCUGUUGGUAGAGAAGAACGUUGGUGAGAGUGGAAAGCUCAUCAAGUGACGGUAACUACCCAGAAAGGGACGGCUAACUACGUG